AGCAGCCGCGGUAAUUCCAGCUCCAAUAGCGUAUAUUAAAGUUGUUGCAGUUAAAAAGCUCGUAGUUGAAUUUCGGGAUCAAUAUGUUGGUCGUGCCUCGGUACGUACUAGCUUAUUGGUUUCUCCCUUCUGAAGAACCAUGAUGUCAUUCAUUUGGUGUCGUGGGGAAUCAGGACUGUUACUUUGAAAAAUUAGAGUGUUUAAAGCAGGCUCACGCUUGAAUACAUUAGCAUGGAAUAAUGAAAUAGGACGUUUGAUUCUAUUUUGUUGGUUUCUAGGAUCGACGUAAUGAUUAAUAGGGAUAGUUGGGGCAUUAGUAUUCAAUUGUCAGAGGUGAAAUUCUUGGAUUUAUUGAAGACUAACUACUGCGAAAGCAUUUGCCAAGGAUGUUUUCAUUAAUCAAAGAACGAAAGUUAGGGGAUCGAAGCGAUCAGAUACCGUCGUAGUCUUAACCAUAAAACUAUGCCGACUAGGGAUCGGAUGAUGUUAAUUUUAAUGACUCAUUC
Molecule: ribosomal RNA, 506 nt
Filed under: uncultured Glomus
Lineage: Eukaryota; Fungi; Glomeromycota; Glomeromycetes; Glomerales; Glomeraceae
Description: SSU rRNA
Rfam family: Eukaryotic small subunit ribosomal RNA
Source: RNAcentral